This 495-nucleotide ribosomal RNA is filed under the name uncultured bacterium. RNAcentral describes it as "partial 16S ribosomal RNA". It matches the Rfam family "Bacterial small subunit ribosomal RNA", at positions 28 to 507 of the family's 1533-position model. The record is from RNAcentral.
GACGAACGCUGGCGGCGUGCCUAAUACAUGCAAGUAGAACGCUGAAGGAGGAGCUUGCUUCUCUGGAUGAGUUGCGAACGGGUGAGUAACGCGUAGGUAACCUGCCUGGUAGCGGGGGAUAACUAUUGGAAACGAUAGCUAAUACCGCAUAAUAGUAGAUGUUGCAUGACAUUUGCUUAAAAGGUGCAAUUUCAUCACUACCAGAUGGACCUGCGUUGUAUUAGCUAGUUGGUGGGGUAACGGCUCACCAAGGCGACGAUACAUAGCCGACCUGAGAGGGUGAUCGGCCACACUGGGACUGAGACACGGCCCAGACUCCUACGGGAGGCAGCAGUAGGGAAUCUUCGGCCAUGGACGGAAGUCUGACCGAGCAAAGCCGCGUGAGUGAAGAAGGUUUUCGGAUCGUAAAGCUCUGUUGUAAGAGAAGAACGAGUGUGAGAGUGGAAAGUUCACACUGUGACGGUAUCUUACCAGAAAGGGACGGCUAACUACGUG